Long non-coding RNA from Etheostoma cragini (Arkansas darter), 700 nucleotides. RefSeq lists it as uncharacterized. The transcript has 3 exons. NCBI's taxonomy places the organism in Eukaryota, Metazoa, Chordata, Actinopteri, Perciformes, Percidae. The record is from RefSeq and is a predicted model, not a curated record.
UACUGUGUGUGGCCCUAAAACAGCGACAGAUGCUUUUCUUCUUUCUCAUUGGAAUUAUUGAUGUGAUCCUCAAUGUGAACACUUCUCAGUGUUACUGCACACAUGAAGGAAGCAUUAGAUUACCCUCAUUGUGCAAAUCUUAUCAGAGAUGUAUUAAGGCAUACAUUCAGUACCAUCAACGCACGCUAUUGUUGUAGUGAGACGGGAGUCCAUGGGUGCUGCUAAUAGUGAUUGGUGCUGGCGACCAUGGAUUUUAUAACAGGAUCGAUAGACAGUCCAUGCACAUAGUGUGAGUUGGAUGUAACCGUAUCGUUAUGUGCAUCUCUUUCACUUGUGUCUGUCAUAUGAUGCAUUAUUCCCUGCAUCCCAUGGUUCUUCUUUUUCACCCACAUGUUUGCAUCGUGUGCCAGUUAAUGUGUGUGUAUGUGUUUAGCGUGUGCUUGCUUAAAUGACUCAUAUGUCAUUCGGUCGUGUCUUGUGUGUGAGAGACUGUACGAGUAUGUAUGUAUGUACUCACAAUAGCUGCAAACAGUGUUGUUUUUAUCUUUUUAAAUUGUUGCCUUUUCCUGAUGCCCAUUUGUUUUGUUUUUUCCAUGUUGUCAUCGAUGAGCCCACAGUGUGUGAGUGUGGCUCGGCCUAUGCAUUCUCAUACCUGUUUUUGUAAAACAAAAAGCCAAUAAAAUGGAAAGUGCAAGUAUAA